GAUGAAGAACGUAGUGAAAUGCGAUAAGUAAUGUGAAUUGCAGAAUCCAGUGAAUCAUCGAAUCUUUGAACGCACAUUGCGCCCGCCAGCAUUCUGGCGGGCAUGCCUGUUCGAGCGUCAUUUCAACCCUCGACCUCCCUUUGGGGAAGUCGGCGUUGGGGACCGGCAGCACACCGCCGGCCCUGAAAUGGAGUGGCGGCCCGUCCGCGGCGACCUCUGCGUAGUAAACCAACUCGCACCGGAACCCCGACGUGGCCACGCCGUAAAACACCCAACUUCUGAACGUUGACCUCGAAUCAGGUAGGACUACCCGCUGAACUUAAGCAUAUCAAUAAGCGGAGG
RNAcentral lists this unclassified non-coding RNA (342 nucleotides) under soil metagenome. Its description in RNAcentral is "partial contains 5.8S ribosomal RNA, internal transcribed spacer 2, and large subunit ribosomal RNA". The stretch from base 1 to 120 matches the Rfam family "5.8S ribosomal RNA", at positions 35 to 154 of the family's 154-position model. The record is from RNAcentral.